Small nuclear RNA from Oncorhynchus tshawytscha (Chinook salmon), 167 nucleotides. Its record names the gene U2. It matches the Rfam family "U2 spliceosomal RNA". From Rfam's summary of the family: U2 is a small nuclear RNA (snRNA) component of the spliceosome (involved in pre-mRNA splicing). Complementary binding between U2 snRNA (in an area lying towards the 5' end but 3' to hairpin I) and the branchpoint sequence (BPS) of the intron results the bulging out of an unpaired adenosine, on the BPS, which initiates a nucleophilic attack at the intronic 5' splice site, thus starting the first of two transesterification reactions that mediate splicing. The record is from Ensembl. Lineage: Eukaryota; Metazoa; Chordata; Actinopteri; Salmoniformes; Salmonidae.
AUUGAUUGUAAAUAAAUUAUUUAAAAAAAUUUAAAAAAUCUUUUCUUAUCAGUUUAAUAUCUGAUACGAAAUGGAUUUUUCGAACAGGGAGUCGGAAAUGGGGCUUGCUCCGUCCGCUCCACGCAUCGACCCGGUAUUGCAGUACCUCCGGGAACGGUGCAACACUU